CGAAUUGCAAUCAUCAUAUGGGCGGGGGUGAAUCCUUUGCAGACGACUUGAAUGGGAACGGGGUACUGUAAGCGGUAGAGUAGCCUUGUUGCUACGAUCCGCUGAGGUUAAGCCCUUGUUCUAAAGAUUUGUUCAACUAUGUUGAACGCUUCUCUUCUUUUUUCUUUCUCUUCUUUCCAUGCAUUAACUUGAGGGCCGGUCAAAUUGACUGGGCUACCAGUGAAGGCAUGAUUAGAAGAGAGAGCAGGCAAUAGUCAGUGACAACUACUGAUGCUUGCUCUACUUGCUCUACAGUUAGAAUUAGGGAGAAAGAAUGAAGAAGUGGUAGUAGGGAAUAGGGCUGAGUAGCUAAAUCUUGUUAGGCACUUGAGGGCAAGCUAGUAGUGUCG
This 389-nucleotide ribosomal RNA is filed under the name Schizophyllum commune. RNAcentral's name for it is "partial large subunit ribosomal RNA". The stretch from base 1 to 132 matches the Rfam family "Eukaryotic large subunit ribosomal RNA", at positions 3269 to 3401 of the family's 3401-position model. Lineage: Eukaryota; Fungi; Basidiomycota; Agaricomycetes; Agaricales; Schizophyllaceae. The record is from RNAcentral.